Molecule: ribosomal RNA, 253 nt
Filed under: uncultured bacterium
Lineage: Bacteria
Description: partial 16S ribosomal RNA
Rfam family: Bacterial small subunit ribosomal RNA
Source: RNAcentral
GACGAAGGAUGCAAGCGUUAUCCGGAUUCAUUGGGUUUAAAGGGAGCGUAGGCGGCCUUGUAAGUCAGUGGUGAAAUCUCUGGGCUUAACCCAGAAAUUGCCAUUGAUACUGCAGGGCUUGAGUACAGUUGCCGUUGGCGGAAUAUGACAUGUAGUGGUGAAAUACAUAGAGAUGUCAUAGAACACCGAUUGCGAAGGCAGCUAACGAAACUGUAACUGACGCUGAGGCUCGAAAGUGUGGGGAUCAAACAGG